RNAcentral lists this ribosomal RNA (440 nucleotides) under uncultured bacterium. Its description in RNAcentral is "partial 16S ribosomal RNA". It matches the Rfam family "Bacterial small subunit ribosomal RNA", at positions 338 to 795 of the family's 1533-position model. The record is from RNAcentral.
CCUACGGGGUGCAGCAGUGGGGAAUAUUGCACAAUGGAGGAAACUCUGAUGCAGCGACGCAGCGUGAGUGAAGAAGUAUUUCUGUAUGUAAAGCUCUAUCAGCAGGGAAGAAAAUGACGGUACCUGAUUAUGAAGCCCCGUCGAACUACGUGCCAGCAGCCGCGGUAAUACGUAGGGGGCAAGCGUUAUCCGGAUUUACUGGGUGUAAAGGGAGCGUAGACGGGAGCACAAGUCUGGAGUGAAAUGGCGGGGCUUAACCCCGGAACUGCUUUUGAAACUGGGCAGCUAGAGUGCAGGUGAGGUAAGUGGAAUUCCUAGUGUAGCGGUGAAAUGCGUAGAUAUUAGGAGGAACACCAGUGGCGAAGGCGGCUUACUGAACUGUAACUGACGUUGAGGCUCGAAAGCGUGGGGAGCAAACAGGAUUAGAUACCCCUGUAGUC